GAUGAACGCUGGCGGCGUGCCUAAUACAUGCAAGUCGAGCGAACGGACGAGAAGCUUGCUUCUCUGAUGUUAGCGGCGGACGGGUGAGUAACACGUGGAUAACCUACCUAUAAGACUGGGAUAACUUCGGGAAACCGGAGCUAAUACCGGUUAAUAUUUUGAACCGCAUGGUUCAAAAGUGAAAGACGGUCUUGCUGUCACUUAUAGAUGGAUCCGCGCUGCAUUAGCUAGUUGGUAAGGUAACGGCUUACCAAGGCAACGAUGCAUAGCCGACCUGAGAGGGUGAUCGGCCACACUGGAACUGAGACACGGUCCAGACUCCUACGGGAGGCAGCAGUAGGGAAUCUUCCGCAAAGGGCGAAAGCCUGACGGAGCAACGCCGCGUGAGUGAUGAAGGUCUUCGGAUCGUAAAACUCUGUUAUUAGGGAAGAACAUAUGUGUAAGUAACUGUGCACAUCUUGACGGUACCUAAUCAGAAAGCCACGGCUAACUACGUG
This 497-nucleotide ribosomal RNA is filed under the name uncultured bacterium. RNAcentral's name for it is "partial 16S ribosomal RNA". It matches the Rfam family "Bacterial small subunit ribosomal RNA", at positions 28 to 507 of the family's 1533-position model. The record is from RNAcentral.